GCGCCUACGGGACGCAGCAGUGAGGAAUAUUGGUCAAUGGCCGGAAGGCUGAACCAGCCAAGUCGCGUGAGGGACGACUGCCCUAUGGGUUGUAAACCUCUUUUAUAAAGGAAUAAAACGAGGCACGUGUGCCUUUUUGCAUGUACUUUAUGAAUAAGGAUCGGCUAACUCCGUGCCAGCAGCCGCGGUAAUACGGAGGAUCCGAGCGUUAUCCGGAUUUAUUGGGUUUAAAGGGAGCGUAGAUGGGUUGUUAAGUCAGUUGUGAAAGUUUGCGGCUCAACCGUAAAAUUGCAAUUGAUACUGGC
RNAcentral lists this ribosomal RNA (305 nucleotides) under uncultured bacterium. Its description in RNAcentral is "bacterial SSU rRNA". It matches the Rfam family "Bacterial small subunit ribosomal RNA", at positions 335 to 637 of the family's 1533-position model. The record is from RNAcentral.